Long non-coding RNA from Oncorhynchus keta (chum salmon), 1587 nucleotides. RefSeq lists it as uncharacterized. The record is from RefSeq and is a predicted model, not a curated record. The transcript has 2 exons. NCBI's taxonomy places the organism in Eukaryota, Metazoa, Chordata, Actinopteri, Salmoniformes, Salmonidae.
UAUGUACAGCUGCAGUAUAUGUACAGCUGCAGUAUAUGUACAGCUACAGUAUAUGUACAGCUGCAGUAUAUGUACAGCUACAGUAUAUGUACAUCUACAGUAUAUGUACAGCUACAGUAUAUGUACAGCUACAGUAUAUGUACAGCUGCAGUAUAUGUACAGCUACAGUAUAUGUACAGCUACAGUAUAUGUACAGCUACAGUAUAUGUACAGCUACAGUAUAUGUACAGCUACAGUAUAUGUACAGCUGCAGUAUAUGUACAGCUACAGUAUAUGUACAGCUACAGUAUAUGUACAGCUGCAGUAUAUGUACAGUUGCAGUAUAUGUACAGCUGCAGUAUAUGUACAGCUACAGUAUAUGUACAGCUACAGUAUAUGUACAGCUACAGUAUAUGUAGCUUUCAGUUUAUACUUUUAAUGGACCUAGCAGUGCCACACUUUAUCGUAGGGGUGAGAAAAACACUUCAACACACCACACUAGUUAGUCCAUGACACUAAUUAACUCAUCACACUUAGCGCCUGUCUGUGCCACUCGGGCACAGUUCUAAGCAAUAAAGAUUGAAUGAAUGUCUGGUCACGUCGUGUCCAUGUUUUGCACAUAGAAUAUACUGCUGAAAUGUAAGUUGAAGGAAGCAUUGUAGGCAGCAAUUCAACAGCUUGUCAUUGGUACGCCAAGCAGGGAUAACAAUAAGGUACCAAAUCCUAAUAGGCAGUUUUCAGCUGAUGUCUUUAACAAAUUUUUCCUUUGUUAGUAUAGUCAGUUUUCACUCACAAUAAUUAGUGGACCAAGCCAAAGCAUUGGUAUUAUCCUGGAGCAAUUUUUUACAAUAUCAAACUCACCAGACACUAUUGACUCUGUUGGGAAGAUGGAGGAUCACAUCAGUUUUAUGUUAAAUAAAUAGUUCACAAAUAAAUGAUACUAUAACAAUCCUGAAUUGUGACGUUUGUUAUUUGUCUUUGCAGCUUGAAUUCCUGGGGGACAGAGGGGUGUUGAGUUUGAGUUGCUACAGUACUUCCCAGUCAACCGUCUGAAAACGUCACUGUUGCCCGUAGGUCUUUUCUGUGACAGAGCUAUGCUUGGUGAUAGAUAGCAUGUCUUAUCUAUAGACAACAUGGUCUCAUUCAAAUGUGUCGAAAUAGUGCCAUAUUAGCCAUUGUAGUUAUACUCUGUCACCAAAACGAGCACUUGUAUUUAAAAUGAAGACUAAAUGAAGGAUUUUUUUUUUCCAAUUCUUUUGUGAAAUGUGGGAUAAAGAUGUUUUAUAUGCAACUUUUCUACAUUUUAUAAAGGUUUUGUAAAUGAAUGAAUACACAUUGCUCUAUAUAAUGUAUGUAAAGGGAGACAUGAUGUAGUAUAGCCUUGUAUAAAUCGCGGGACUAUGAGGUUAAGGCUGAUGCACAAGUAUAGGCUACAACUGUGGUGUGUACUGUUCUUCUAUGCACAAGAGUACGACAAGGUAUAUGCUAUUACUGUAAAACUAUUACUGUAAAACUACAACAAGGGUUUGUAUCUGCCUAAUAUCUCUCUGUAAUGAUAUCCAAUUACAUUUUUUUUAUACUGCAAAUAAAUCACAUUGUUUAUCACAA